UACGUAGGGUGCGAGCGUUUAAUCGGGAAUUACUGGGCGUAAAGCGUGCGCAGGCGGUUCGUUGUGUCGGUGGUGAAAUCCCCGGGCUUAACCUGGGAUGGCCAUGGAAACUGGCGAACUGGAGUGCGGCAGAGGGGGGUGGAAUUCCGCGUGUAGCAGUGAAAUGCGUAGAGAUGCGGAGGAACACCGAUGGCGAAGGCAGCCCCCCUGGGCUAGCACUGACGCUCAGGCACGAAAGCGUGGGGAGCAAACAGG
This 255-nucleotide ribosomal RNA is filed under the name uncultured bacterium. RNAcentral describes it as "partial 16S ribosomal RNA". It matches the Rfam family "Bacterial small subunit ribosomal RNA", at positions 524 to 776 of the family's 1533-position model. The record is from RNAcentral.